RNAcentral lists this ribosomal RNA (253 nucleotides) under uncultured bacterium. Its description in RNAcentral is "partial 16S ribosomal RNA". It matches the Rfam family "Bacterial small subunit ribosomal RNA", at positions 524 to 776 of the family's 1533-position model. The record is from RNAcentral.
UACGGAGGGAGCUAGCGUUGUUCGGAAUUACUGGGCGUAAAGCGCACGUAGGCGGCUUUUUAAGUCAGGGGUGAAAUCCCGGGGCUCAACCCCGGAACUGCCCUUGAAACUGGGAAGCUAGAAUCUUGGAGAGGCGAGUGGAAUUCCGAGUGUAGAGGUGAAAUUCGUAGAUAUUCGGAAGAACACCAGUGGCGAAGGCGACUCGCUGGACGAGUAUUGACGCUGAGGUGCGAAAGCGUGGGGAGCAAACAGG